GGCCAAGUAGCUCAGUUGGUAGAGCAGCGGACUGAAAAUCCGCGUGUCCGUGGUUCAAUUCCGCGCUUGGCCA
RNAcentral lists this transfer RNA (73 nucleotides) under Candidatus Accumulibacter sp. SK-11. It matches the Rfam family "tRNA". From Rfam's summary of the family: Transfer RNA (tRNA) molecules are approximately 80 nucleotides in length. Their secondary structure includes four short double-helical elements and three loops (D, anti-codon, and T loops). The record is from Rfam by way of RNAcentral. Lineage: Bacteria; Pseudomonadati; Pseudomonadota; Betaproteobacteria.